Molecule: transfer RNA, 72 nt
Filed under: Camelus bactrianus (Bactrian camel)
Lineage: Eukaryota; Metazoa; Chordata; Mammalia; Artiodactyla; Camelidae
Also listed under: 2 other names
Rfam family: tRNA
About the family: Transfer RNA (tRNA) molecules are approximately 80 nucleotides in length. Their secondary structure includes four short double-helical elements and three loops (D, anti-codon, and T loops).
Source: Rfam by way of RNAcentral
GGGGGUCUAACUCAGUGGUAGAGCGCAUGCUUAGCAUGCAGGAGGUCCUGAGUUCAAUCCCCAGUACCUCCA